Molecule: ribosomal RNA, 396 nt
Filed under: uncultured bacterium
Lineage: Bacteria
Description: bacterial SSU rRNA
Rfam family: Bacterial small subunit ribosomal RNA
Source: RNAcentral
AUUGAACGCUGGCGGCAUGCUUUACACAUGCAAGUCGAACGGUAACAGGCCUUCGGGUGCUGACGAGUGGCGAACGGGUGAGUAAUGCAUCGGAACGUGCCCAAUCGUGGGGGAUAACGUAGCGAAAGUUACGCUAAUACCGCAUAAGCCCUGAGGGGGAAAGUGGGGGACCGCAAGGCCUCACGCGAAUGGAGCGGCCGAUGUCAGAUUAGCUAGUUGGUGGGGGUAAAGGCCCACCAAGGCGACGAUCUGUAGCGGGUCUGAGAGGAUGAUCCGCCACACUGGGACUGAGACACGGCCCAGACUCCUACGGGAGGCAGCAGUGGGGAAUUUUGGACAAUGGGCGCAAGCCUGAUCCAGCCAUGCCGCGUGAGUGAAGAAGGCCUCGGUUGUAAG